Grus americana (Whooping crane) is the source of this 615-nucleotide long non-coding RNA. RefSeq lists it as uncharacterized. The transcript is spliced from 4 exons. The record is from RefSeq and is a predicted model, not a curated record. NCBI's taxonomy places the organism in Eukaryota, Metazoa, Chordata, Aves, Gruiformes, Gruidae.
UGGAGAAGUAGGAAGAGAACACUGGUUCUGGUCGCAGUGAAGUCGAUGGGAAUUUGGAGGUUUUGCGGAAAUGCAGAUGAUUACGUUCAGCAAAAAAAAGGACCCCAGGAUAAAUGUGAAUUCUUUGCUCAAAGGAAAUCUUCCCCUUUGUUUACCACACAUCAGGCUGUUAGGUAAAAGAAAUACGUCAUCACCCCACAUCAGUCUUGGUUCAGCUCAAACUUGGACUUUGCAUGCAUCAACCAAACCAUGGAAGAAGUGAUGAUGGAGAAAAUCAGUCAGUCACCUUACUAGGCCUCUCAACUCUAACGCCACUGAUCCACUCCAACUUUUGCUUCCUGCUUCUAUAAUGAAGUAACACAUAGCAACCUAAGAUACUGAGUCCUGCUACUUGCGACUGCAAAACCCAGAAAACAAGAAGCAUCCACAGGUCUGAUACCUCAUAUUUUUCUCUAGUUUUGUUGGGAAUUUCAAUAUUCCAUCAUGCGAUGUUGAUAGAGGAGAGCGAUCUGUUCAGCAGUACUGCCUGAAGCAACCACAUUAUUCUACCAGCCUUCCAUAUUCAUGGAUUCAAGAAGGCUCUGCUUCCAUCUGCAGCAUGCAACGUUUCAUUCA